RNAcentral lists this long non-coding RNA (3118 nucleotides) under Panax ginseng (ginseng). RNAcentral describes it as "long non-coding RNA (PGIN_LNC003896)". Lineage: Eukaryota; Viridiplantae; Streptophyta; Magnoliopsida; Apiales; Araliaceae. The record is from RNAcentral.
UCAAAUAAGGGAAGUGAACUAAAAAUGUUCCAUUUUAUAUAUACAACUGUUUAAAUAUACAAAAGUAAUACUAAAUGUAUGUCAAAGGAGAAUAAAAUAGUCGAUGUAGGAAAAUAAAGCAUGACUAUAAAUCUAAGGUGAGGCGGGAUAACAUCUCUAAGUAUUCAGCCGUCUCGACAGUCGGAGGAGCGACCCUGAGCACAUGCUCCAACAUCUCAACACGUCUUAAGAGCUCUACUGUUGACCUAAAAAUCCCCUCCUGACUCUGAAUGACAUCUCGAGUAGGAUCAGUAAGCUUAUUCGCAAAAGAUCAUACUGAAUUUCUCUCGGCUACAACCUCAUCUCUGAUAGUGAGGGUCACAUCCCUAUCAGCAUUGGCAACAUCCCUACCUGCCAAGAUAAUCAACAUCAAAGCCUGAGCCUAAUCCCGCUCAAAUGUUAGAAGAUAAACUUGAUGAUCCAAUACCUCCCCAUAUGUUGGAAUAGAACUUGGAGCUGCACUAAUCAAUGCCACAGACAAACCAUCAAACAGCUCAUCCUCGAUCAGAGAUAUAGGACCCUCAAUUUGCUCCUCUUUAUCAAAGACCAACCUUCAACCUCCGCCUAAUAAACUACAUCCAAGGUUAAGUCAGUCUCUAACUAGGCUGAAUACUCUGUCGAUCGGCCAAGAUAACCUUCUCUAAAAUAUGUCAUCUGCAGGUGAGACCAAAAACUGUAGACAUGAGCCAAAUCGUCCUCAAUAGCCGAGCAAAUGGGGAAACGAUAAUCCUCAAUCCCCUUAAACAAAUGGACCUCCUUGUGUUGAUCUAACAGGCCCAUCACCGCCAGAGGAUGAUAGGUAGCCAACCCCUAAAACCGGCUAAAGGGGUGAAGUCCAAAUGAACCUCAUCGAUGGCAAAACUCAGGAAGGAACAAUAUCCAAUGUACAUGAUACUCUCAAAAAGAUCCUCCAUACUAUCAAAAAAAAUCAGUCCAAGAUGUGGCAUCUAUAAGCGAAGAUGGGAAGAGAGAAUUUGUCAAUGUCAUGCUGUGACCGAAGCAAAACCCGUGCCAACGGAGCUGACCAAUCAGUGUCAGAUGGGUCAUAAACAAAAAUAAAAGAGGACGGGGCUACCUUUGAACUUCUGAUCCCUAACCGUCUGGCAGAAAGAUGCUAAUAUCAAUAUCUCGGCCAAUAUAAGGGGAAGGAAAGUAAAGUCAUCCCAGAGAGCCCUAACGACCAUCAACAUCCCAACGUCUAGGUGAUCGACAUAAAAGGGCAUGUACAAAUAUGUCAAGACACACAUAAUCAGGGCAUCUACCCAUGUUGUCUACCACCUCUCCUUGGAAAGGGCAAAAUCUCCCUGAUGGAUGACGAAGUUAUCAGCGAAAACAAAACCGUCUAUAAGAAAGUCCAUCGAGAUGAUAUAGCUACCACCCACCUCUGCCAAAACUACCGACCUCCUCAAACCGGUAGUGGUCAUGAACUGGAGGCACAUAUGCCCCACCAUUACCCUGGCAUAAGGGUCGUCCAUCGACAAACUUGAAAUAUGGCCAUACUCCUCUAAAGUGGGGGUCAACUAAUCAGAUACAAAUCUAAAAAUAUGGGACUCUGGAUCCAAUAAGUAAGCAUCCCAUCAACAAAUCCAUCCGACACCUGGAAGGAUAAGAGAUACAUGGAGUGGCCCAACAUCUGACCCACAGUAAUAUGAUCAGAAUCCGACAAGGUGUCAUGCCAACCUCUCAAGUUGGUCUCUAUCUGAUUUAGCAGAAGAUGCUCUAGACGAUCAAUCGAUGAAGAACACAUCUGUAAAAAUAGUAUCAAAGACUAUACAGGGGUCAAAUCUCUAUCUAAUCAUUUACAAAUAUAUAAAGCGUACAAAUAUAUAAGCAUGCAUCAUGAUAAACGAUAUGUACAAUAUAUACAAUAAAUAAAUAAAAAGACAUCACACACACACACAUAUGGAAUAGAUCAGGUUUUAUAUGUACAUCAAGCAUUCAUCUUUAUGAUACAUUAAAAAUGAAAAAUAAAAAAAUACAAGAUAAUGGGGCACAUACACCCAACAACUAGCAAAAGCUUAUGAAAUGAACUCUACGCUAUCCAUAAAGGUACUGGAGUCAUUAAAAUAGUAAAACAGAGCCAGAUCUUCUGUAGUAGGCAUAUCAUGCAUAUAUGGGCGAUAGAAUAUGGGAUCUCCCACGUCAGCAAAGCCACUAGUGCCAGAUGGACCAGCCUCAAACCCUGAGGGAUCAAAAGUAUCAGCCUUGAAUGGAUUCCUGCCCAAAUGGCGAAUGAAGAGGGACAUUCGAUCAACCCACUGUGUCAACUCUACUAUUUGAGACAGAUGAGUUGGCUCCUAGACACAAGCCAUCCAGUCAUUCAUCAUCACAGACCCUGGAACUAUGUCCCCUAAAAGCUAGGUAGCACGGGUCUGAGCAUCGAUAGUACGGGCACCCACCAAAGGGAAAAAGCAGUUGAAGUGCUAGGGCCAUCCGACAAUAGGAACCCAUCAUGACCAUCUAAAGGGAUCUCUGAGAGGGGCUGAGCUAGAGGCCAAAAUCGUUGAGCAGGAGGAAGAAAAGGAAUGUGAAUCUCCCCUAAAACACAUUUGAAGGCACUGUCCCCAAGGUAGAUGAUGAUUGGGUUUUAUACCUAUUAUUUGAAUACUUUUAAGCUUAAUAAUUUGUGAGAGUUUAAGUAUGUUAUGUUAUUUGAUAUUAUUUUUAUUAUUUUUAUUUUAUUUUGUAUGAAAAAAGGAAAUUCAAUGGCAAAAUCAUAAAUAAUUUAAGUUAGAAUGCAAGGAAGGAAAUUAAUGAGCCAAUAAAAGUUUUGGAAAAGGAAUGUUGUUAUAGUAGUUUAUUAAAAUUAGGAUAUUAUGUAUGUCAAUUUAAUUAGGAUUUUAAUUCUAUUAGGGUUAGGAAAAUUAAACUCCUACAAAUAGUCUUAUUUUUGGAUUGUAGAAGGUAUUGGGAAAAAGCCAAUGAACACCAUGUACGGCUAAUUUUCUUCCAAGUUCAAGGGCAAACAAGAUAUCAUCAAAGAUGGAGGCUAUGGAUUAAUGAAUCUUGGAGAUAGAAGACUUGUGGGAGACUGUUUUUCUUCCCUAAACCUUUAUUUUUUUAUCUUUCAUUGAUGUGG